CGCGGCCUAUCAGCUUGUUGGUGGGGUGAUGGCCUACCAAGGCGACGACGGGUAGCCGGCCUGAGAGGGCGACCGGCCACACUGGGACUGAGACACAGCCCAGACUCCUACGGGAGGCAGCAGUGGGGAAUAUUGCACAAUGGGCGAAAGCCUGAUGCAGCGACGCCGCGUGAGGGAUGACGGCCUUCGGGUUGUAAACCUCUUUCACCCAUGACGAAGCGUAAGUGACGGUAGUGGGAGAAGAAGCGCCGGCCAACUACGUGCCAGCAGCCGCGGUAAGACGUAGGGCGCGAGCGUUGUCCGGAUUUAUUGGGCGUAAAGAGCUCGUAGGCGGCUUGUUGCGUCGGCUGUGAAAACCCAUGGCUUAACCGUGGGCUUGCAGCCGAUACGGGCAGGCUAGAGUUCGGUAGGGGAGACUGGAAUUCCUGGUGUAGCGGUGAAAUGCGCAGAUAUCAGGAGGAACACCGGUGGCGAAGGCGGGUCUCUGGGCCGAUACUGACGCUGAGGAGCGAAAGCGUGGGGAGCGAACAGGAUUAGAUACCCUGGUAGUCCACGCUGUAAACGUUGGGCGCUAGGUGUGGGGGACCUCUCCGGUUCUCUGUGCCGCAGCUAACGCAUUAAGCGCCCCGCCUGGGGAGUACGG
RNAcentral lists this ribosomal RNA (643 nucleotides) under uncultured bacterium. RNAcentral describes it as "bacterial SSU rRNA". It matches the Rfam family "Bacterial small subunit ribosomal RNA", at positions 232 to 885 of the family's 1533-position model. The record is from RNAcentral.